GUUAAUGAAGCAUAACUGGAUAUGCAAAAGACCUAAGCCCUUUUAUUAGGAGGUUCAAAUCCACCCUUUAACU
Molecule: transfer RNA, 73 nt
Filed under: Callulina kreffti (Krefft's secret frog)
Lineage: Eukaryota; Metazoa; Chordata; Amphibia; Anura; Brevicipitidae
Description: tRNA-Leu
Rfam family: tRNA
About the family: Transfer RNA (tRNA) molecules are approximately 80 nucleotides in length. Their secondary structure includes four short double-helical elements and three loops (D, anti-codon, and T loops). Further hydrogen bonds mediate the characteristic L-shaped molecular structure. tRNAs have two regions of fundamental functional importance: the anti-codon, which is responsible for specific mRNA codon recognition, and the 3' end, to which the tRNAs corresponding amino acid is attached (by aminoacyl-tRNA synthetases). tRNAs cope with the degeneracy of the genetic code in two manners: having more than one tRNA (with a specific anti-codon) for a particular amino acid; and 'wobble' base-pairing, i.e. permitting non-standard base-pairing at the 3rd anti-codon position.
Source: RNAcentral